UUAAGCGACUAAGCGUACACGGUGGAUGCCCUGGCAGUCAGAGGCGAUGAAGGACGUGCUAAUCUGCGAUAAGCGUCGGUAAGGUGAUAUGAACCGUUAUAACCGGCGAUUUCCGAAUGGGGAAACCCAGUGUGUUUCGACACACUAUCAUUAACUGAAUCCAUAGGUUAAUGAGGCGAACCGGGGGAACUGAAACAUCUAAGUACCCCGAGGAAAAGAAAUCAACCGAGAUUCCCCCAGUAGCGGCGAGCGAACGGGGAGCAGCCCAGAGCCUGAAUCAGUGUGUGUGUUAGUGGAAGCGUCUGGAAAGGCGCGCGAUACAGGGUGACAGCCCCGUACACAAAAAUGCACAUGCUGUGAGCUCGAUGAGUAGGGCGGGACACGUGGUAUCCUGUCUGAAUAUGGGGGGACCAUCCUCCAAGGCUAAAUACUCCUGACUGACCGAUAGUGAACCAGUACCGUGAGGGAAAGGCGAAAAGAACCCCGGCGAGGGGAGUGAAAAAGAACCUGAAACCGUGUACGUACAAGCAGUGGGAGCCUCUUUAUGGGGUGACUGCGUACCUUUUGUAUAAUGGGUCAGCGACUUAUAUUCUGUAGCAAGGUUAACCGAAUAGGGGAGCCGAAGGGAAACCGAGUCUUAACUGGGCGUUAAGUUGCAGGGUAUAGACCCGAAACCCGGUGAUCUAGCCAUGGGCAGGUUGAAGGUUGGGUAACACUAACUGGAGGACCGAACCGACUAAUGUUGAAAAAUUAGCGGAUGACUUGUGGCUGGGGGUGAAAGGCCAAUCAAACCGGGAGAUAGCUGGUUCUCCCCGAAAGCUAUUUAGGUAGCGCCUCGUGAAUUCAUCUCCGGGGGUAGAGCACUGUUUCGGCAAGGGGGUCAUCCCGACUUACCAACCCGAUGCAAACUGCGAAUACCGGAGAAUGUUAUCACGGGAGACACACGGCGGGUGCUAACGUCCGUCGUGAAGAGGGAAACAACCCAGACCGCCAGCUAAGGUCCCAAAGUCAUGGUUAAGUGGGAAACGAUGUGGGAAGGCCCAGACAGCCAGGAUGUUGGCUUAGAAGCAGCCAUCAUUUAAAGAAAGCGUAAUAGCUCACUGGUCGAGUCGGCCUGCGCGGAAGAUGUAACGGGGCUAAACCAUGCACCGAAGCUGCGGCAGCGACGCUUAUGCGUUGUUGGGUAGGGGAGCGUUCUGUAAGCCUGUGAAGGUGUGCUGUGAGGCAUGCUGGAGGUAUCAGAAGUGCGAAUGCUGACAUAAGUAACGAUAAAGCGGGUGAAAAGCCCGCUCGCCGGAAGACCAAGGGUUCCUGUCCAACGUUAAUCGGGGCAGGGUGAGUCGACCCCUAAGGCGAGGCCGAAAGGCGUAGUCGAUGGGAAACAGGUUAAUAUUCCUGUACUUGGUGUUACUGCGAAGGGGGGACGGAGAAGGCUAUGUUGGCCGGGCGACGGUUGUCCCGGUUUAAGCGUGUAGGCUGGUUUUCCAGGCAAAUCCGGAAAAUCAAGGCUGAGGCGUGAUGACGAGGCACUACGGUGCUGAAGCAACAAAUGCCCUGCUUCCAGGAAAAGCCUCUAAGCAUCAGGUAACAUCAAAUCGUACCCCAAACCGACACAGGUGGUCAGGUAGAGAAUACCAAGGCGCUUGAGAGAACUCGGGUGAAGGAACUAGGCAAAAUGGUGCCGUAACUUCGGGAGAAGGCACGCUGAUAUGUAGGUGAAGUCCCUCGCGGAUGGAGCUGAAAUCAGUCGAAGAUACCAGCUGGCUGCAACUGUUUAUUAAAAACACAGCACUGUGCAAACACGAAAGUGGACGUAUACGGUGUGACGCCUGCCCGGUGCCGGAAGGUUAAUUGAUGGGGUCAGCGCAAGCGAAGCUCUUGAUCGAAGCCCCGGUAAACGGCGGCCGUAACUAUAACGGUCCUAAGGUAGCGAAAUUCCUUGUCGGGUAAGUUCCGACCUGCACGAAUGGCGUAAUGAUGGCCAGGCUGUCUCCACCCGAGACUCAGUGAAAUUGAACUCGCUGUGAAGAUGCAGUGUACCCGCGGCAAGACGGAAAGACCCCGUGAACCUUUACUAUAGCUUGACACUGAACAUUGAGCCUUGAUGUGUAGGAUAGGUGGGAGGCUUUGAAGUGUGGACGCCAGUCUGCAUGGAGCCGACCUUGAAAUACCACCCUUUAAUGUUUGAUGUUCUAACGUUGGCCCCUAAUCGGGGUUGCAGACAGUGUCUGGUGGGUAGUUUGACUGGGGCGGUCUCCUCCUAAAGAGUAACGGAGGAGCACGAAGGUUGGCUAAUCCUGGUCGGACAUCAGGAGGUUAGUGCAAUGGCAUAAGCCAGCUUGACUGCGAGCGUGACGGCGCGAGCAGGUGCGAAAGCAGGUCAUAGUGAUCCGGUGGUUCUGAAUGGAAGGGCCAUCGCUCAACGGAUAAAAGGUACUCCGGGGAUAACAGGCUGAUACCGCCCAAGAGUUCAUAUCGACGGCGGUGUUUGGCACCUCGAUGUCGGCUCAUCACAUCCUGGGGCUGAAGUAGGUCCCAAGGGUAUGGCUGUUCGCCAUUUAAAGUGGUACGCGAGCUGGGUUUAGAACGUCGUGAGACAGUUCGGUCCCUAUCUGCCGUGGGCGCUGGAGAACUGAGGGGGGCUGCUCCUAGUACGAGAGGACCGGAGUGGACGCAUCACUGGUGUUCGGGUUGUCAUGCCAAUGGCACUGCCCGGUAGCUAAAUGCGGAAGAGAUAAGUGCUGAAAGCAUCUAAGCACGAAACUUGCCCCGAGAUGAGUUCUCCCUGACCCUUUAAGGGUCCUGAAGGAACGUUGAAGACGACGACGUUGAUAGGCCGGGUGUGUAAGCGCAGCGAUGCGUUGAGCUAACCGGUACUAAUGAACCGUGAGGCUUAACCUU
Molecule: ribosomal RNA, 2901 nt
Filed under: Escherichia coli G3/10
Lineage: Bacteria; Pseudomonadati; Pseudomonadota; Gammaproteobacteria; Enterobacterales; Enterobacteriaceae
Description: bacterial LSU rRNA
Rfam family: Bacterial large subunit ribosomal RNA
Source: RNAcentral